This 406-nucleotide ribosomal RNA is filed under the name uncultured bacterium. RNAcentral's name for it is "partial 16S ribosomal RNA". It matches the Rfam family "Bacterial small subunit ribosomal RNA", at positions 30 to 526 of the family's 1533-position model. The record is from RNAcentral.
AUUGAACGCUGGCGGCAUGCUUUACACAUGCAAGUCGGACGAGUGGCGAACGGGUGAGUAAUAUAUCGGAACGUACCGAGUAAUGGGGGAUAACUAAUCGAAAGAUUAGCUAAUACCGCAUAUUAUUCGAGCGGCCGAUAUCUGAUUAGCUUGUUGGUGGGGUAAAGGCCUACCAAGGCUACGAUCAGUAGCGGGUCUGAGAGGAUGAUCCGCCACACUGGGACUGAGAAACGGCCCAGACUCCUACGGGAGGCAGGAGUGGGGAAUUUUGGACAAUGGGCGCAAGCCUGAUCCAGCCAUGCCGCGGGUCUGAAGAAGGCCUUCGGGUUGGAAAGGACUUUUGUCAGGGAAGCGGUACCUGAAGAAUGAGCACCGGCUAACUACGUGCCAGCAGCCGCGGUAAUUC